This 439-nucleotide unclassified non-coding RNA is filed under the name Hevea brasiliensis (rubber tree). The record is from RNAcentral. Lineage: Eukaryota; Viridiplantae; Streptophyta; Magnoliopsida; Malpighiales; Euphorbiaceae.
ACAGAAAAAUAAGUAUGGUAUGCAAUGGAGAAACUAAAAGGCUUGCAAUUAACAUUCCUGAUGCGUGAUGUCAGGGUAAGAGAUCCAUCAAAAGCCAAAGCCACUCUCAGGCGGAACUCAAAACCAUGAGGCCAGAUUUUAAGAUCAUCGUCAGAUGAUUUAAGUAGUAAGUCAAUAUAUGUUUUGCCAUUGGAAUCAUUUGGGUGCAGUGGGGGAGGAUUAUCGUCAAUGACCCACAUCUUAUUUCUGGCAAAUCCAUGUUGCUCGAGAGAGCCCCGGUUUCCAAACUGAGGAAAACAAAUUUGAAUCCCUCCCCUCACAGCUGUUGGUGGCUUAAAAGUUGCCUUGCUACUUAUAAAAAGUAAUUCUUCACCAUGGUCAGUCUUCCAUGAAAGAACCUGUCCUCCAUGCAGGCUAACUCGAACAGAAGCGCCACGUA